Octopus bimaculoides (California two-spot octopus) is the source of this 3663-nucleotide long non-coding RNA. The record is from RefSeq and is a predicted model, not a curated record. Lineage: Eukaryota; Metazoa; Mollusca; Cephalopoda; Octopoda; Octopodidae.
AAAUGGCGUUGGCUUAUAUUUCCAAUGUAAUUGUCAAGGCAUGUUUAUGACAUUUUUUUUAGUGUUUAAAAGCUGUAUGCAACAAUAAUGACUACUAGCUCGCUAAUAUUGGUUUCCUUCUUACUGCCGAAUAUAUUAGAGGAAAUGAAAAUUGAGAUGUGAUUUUCACGCAUUUCCCUACAUGAAUUAAGGAUUGAAAUUGCGUCGUGGUUUCGACAUGCUUGUAAUUCACCAGUCCUCACAGGACUAACGAUCAUCAUCAAGUAACCUUUAUAAACAUUACUUGUUCACUAUAAGUACUAUUAUACCCUUGAUUUAGUAAGUCCAUAAUAAAAGCUGUGACCAUCCUGCUUUUUUUUUUAAAGGGGCUAUGUCUCCCUUGGUUCACGUAAACCUUUUUGGCAAGUUUCAUAAGACACAUUAAGAAAAGAAUUUUAAUUUUUAACCAAUAUAGUGUGUAAUUUAACUAAUUUAUUGUUGAAAGUUCAUUGUUUCAUUCACCCACCAUGUAUUAUAUUACCUAUAGAUGUAAUCUGUACCCAGUCAUAUCCACAUAACGCUAUGAAAUCAGGGCUAAGCAAAAUUGGGAUUACGAGAAACAUUUAUAUUGCAGAAGAGGAAAAACUGAAAACAUUCAGUUUGAUAUUCUGAAAGUAACACGGAGAUGUCUGUUUGUAUUGGAUUUAGCAUAAAUUCAACAAUGAAUUAACUACUAAGAUUUUCUACUUAAAUUAAUAGAAUUUAAGAACCCAGUUGAGACAGAAAAGAGACACACCCUCUGAUGAGACAGACAGACUCUUCCAGGCAAUAAAUACGUGGUUUGAAUUUCAUUAGUGAACCUGUUUUCUCUCUUUGUUUUUUUUUCUCAAACUGGUGCUUACCUAUAAUAAUAAACGCAAAGUUCUGUCUAUCCAUCCGAGACCCCUGUAUCUCAGUUUACAUUUGCUCUACAUAGACAUAUAAUACCUUUUUGGAGUCAGAAUGAGCCAGGGAUUGGAAACCUGCCCAUCAUGUGGUUCUUGAACAUCCAGCAUUGGGAUCAUGUUUGGAUGAGGAUUUGUUAUAUGCUAACAGUUGAAAAUUCAAAUUCUAAAAGAACUCCAAAAAUUUGUGAACUUUCAAGUUUUUCAUUUAAUACCAUAUUGGUAGAUUACCAAUAAAUGCUUUAUUAUUAUUAUUUCUCUCUUUAGUUUUGGGCUGCAGGCCCAAUUAGCAUUCACAGGAGUGAGCUCAAAAGUCUGCACAGAAUGCGGCUUUUAAGCUAGUAACGUAUAAAAUUAAAUCAAACAAGUUCAGAGAAUUAAGGACCUAUUGCACUGUCAUAGUCAGUUUUUCCACCAGGUGAAUGGCUUUUUUUUCUUUAAUGAUAUAUUUUGUUUUAGAUAGAUGUACUAUCUUUGCUAUAACAACAGAAAAGCAAAUUAUAUGUGAUUGCUGGUGUACAACAGUUUAUUUUACCGUUGAUGCACAGGUACCCACCACAAGAUAUUCCCAACAUAAAUGUUCAAUAAGAUACACAGUUUAGAAUAAGUUGGAAGAAUUAAGCAUAAAUUAGUAGGGUAGGGUUAGGUGGGCCUGGGUGCAGUUACCUUAUUCUGAGGAGCAGAAGCUGUUAUUGUAGUGACAGAAUAUAUAGGAUUAGGGAACACAUUUAAUAUGUUAGAAAUGAAAGCCUUGGAUAAAAUACUUAUGGUAUUUAGCAAAAUUCCAUAGUAGGUUUUGAGUUCAAAUCCUACUAUGGUCAACUAAUCACCCUCUAGGGUUGAUAAAAUAAAGUACUAGUCAAAUUCUGCGGUCACUAUAUGUACUUGUAUAUUGUUGGCUUGUACAUGUAUAUUGUUAGCUCUUUCUUAUAAUUUGAGACUUUCAAUUUCUCUCUGUUGAAGAAAAUAUCACCAGGAAAAAAUGGCAUAGAUUUGUUUUCACUGAUGGGGGUGACCCACAGACUAUGGUUUCAGGGCCAUCCUAUGCAGCACAUGUAGAAUAAGACAACCGAUAUCAGGUGAUAGAACUGCAAUGGACUGACACUGAUUAGGUUUUAGGCUCAAAUGGCACAUUCAUAGCCACUCUGUUUGGUGUUGCAUUCCUCCAGUUCAAAAUUUUUGCAUAUCUAUCAUUAUUGUUAAAUACAUUGACUUGUUCUGCCAUUAUGGUCUGGAGUAGUUAUAUGUACAUAUAGUAUAUAAUCAUUAGAUAUAGAGUAUAUAUAUUGUUUUUGCAUUGAUGCCGGUGUAGCUUAGACAGGUGUGAAGUACUCUCUCAUCACUUCAUCUUUAUAUCUUAGGUUCUCAAUGUAAUAUUUAACUUCCACUGUUAUCUCAUUUUCACUUAACACUUAUCUGUUUGCAUGAAAUGCCUACACCAGUGCAGCCACCUCUCUUACAGAGGUGUUGCCUUGAUUAUCCAGCUUGUUUGUGCUCUACCUUUCUUUAAUGUUAAUGUGUUGCACAAUCAGUGGAUCAUAUACAAUUUAUUUCUUUUGAACUUCCAUUUGCAAUGUAGUAGCCUCUGCACAGUCACUCAACCUGCUAGAAAUAGCAACCAGAUUUCUUAAAAUCAUACCCUUACAUCUUAUAAAAGAAUACACUGGACAGUGUGAUCAGAGUAUACAAUGCAAUUCUUGAAAAAUGAAUAGAUGAUCAUGGCCAAAAUACCCACUCAAUCAGGGUUAAACAGCAACUAUAGACCUGCCAAACUUAAUGUCCAUAUGUCAUUACUAUGUAAGAUCAGAUUACUUGUAUAUCUUUCAGAUAUUCAUUAUAUAUGUGAAUAUAUGUAUUUAGCUUUACUCUGAAGUAGUUUGGAGGUUAAAAUUUCCAAGAGAGAACAUUCAAGCCUAACAAUUGAAGGAACUUAAACUAAGUUUUGUCUUGGUCAGUAGUAAAAGUCAUCUGUAAAUUUGUUGUUGACUAUGAUUUAAAGAAUCAUUUUGACACACUUGGAGCAAUAAUGUGGGUUUAAGAUGUCAAAUUAAUUGGGUGAUGUAGUUGUUUUGUAUUUCCAAAUCAUUUCUAACUGAGCAGAUCUAUGAUUAAAAGCAUUUCAGUUGUGUGCCCUCCCGUCUUUUCCCUAUAUGCAGACAACUUAGGAUCAGUGUGUCCUUUUUGUAAGAUGGUGGAAUGUGAUUUGAAAGAGAUUUGGCUGCUAUCUCUGGCAGGUCAUGCAAUCAUAUAAAGGCUCCCCUAUUGGCUUGUUGAUAAUUUGGUCUAGCAGUUAGGUAGGUGGCUUAAUGCCUUGAGUACAUCUUGUUAGAGAAAUACACGUGCAACAAAGCAUUUAAUAGACUAGACUUCUCAUCUGGUGGGGAGAUAUAAUCACUGUUUAACUCUUCCAUAACAGUAUUUUUUAUGAAAUACUCUACUUGUGUAUUCCAAUUAAUUUUUGAAAAUAAGAUUUUGGAUGGGUUUUAUUACCAAACUGUUGUUAUUAAAGAUAGAUGUUUUGUAUCAUAGAACCAACAUCAGUAUUGAAAGGGAACCUGGAUGUACUGCCUGUUUUUGCAUUUCUAAUAGAGUCAGUGUGUCUUAUUUACUUAAUAUACUGAAUAUUGGGGUUGUUCAAAUCUUGUUUUUCAGCAGAUCAACAUAAAGAAAAAAAAUUAAAGGUAUUGUAUGAAUAUAUGCAUUUUAUAUAAUAAAUUGAAUAAAGAAAAAUGAACAUCAA